Molecule: ribosomal RNA, 448 nt
Filed under: uncultured bacterium
Lineage: Bacteria
Description: bacterial SSU rRNA
Rfam family: Bacterial small subunit ribosomal RNA
Source: RNAcentral
GAGUUUGAUCCUGGCUCAGGAUGAACGCUAGCGGGAGGCUUAACACAUGCAAGUCGAGGGGCAGCACGAUGUAGCAAUACGUUGGUGGCGACCGGCGCACGGGUGAGUAACGCGUAUGCAACCUACCCUGUACUGGGGGAUAGCCCGGAGAAAUUCGGAUUAAUACCCCAUAAAGAUAUUUUAAGGCAUCUUUUAAUAUUUAAAGUUUCGACGGUACGGGAUGGGCAUGCGUGACAUUAGCUAGUUGGUAGGGUAACGGCCUACCAAGGCUACGAUGUCUAGGGGUCCUGAGAGGGUGAUCCCCCACACUGGUACUGAGACACGGACCAGACUCCUACGGGAGGCAGCAGUGAGGAAUAUUGGUCAAUGGGCGCAAGCCUGAACCAGCCAUCCCGCGUGCAGGAAGAAGGCGCUAUGCGUCGUAAACUGCUUUUCCAGGGGAAGAAAA